RNAcentral lists this small RNA (619 nucleotides) under Pan troglodytes (chimpanzee). RNAcentral's name for it is "retained intron". Lineage: Eukaryota; Metazoa; Chordata; Mammalia; Primates; Hominidae. The record is from RNAcentral.
AUGCAGGGGGCUUCCAUCCAAGGUGGGAACUAGAGCGUCCAAGCCCAAAGGAGGAACGGUGCUAAAAGCCAGGCGACUGAAAGUGAUGUACAAACAGGGCGGAAUUCUGCAAGUAUCAAGCAAGUAGCUUAACACUGGUGGCUGAAGGGAAGGACGCAGCUCUUACAAGUGUGGAGCAUCUUACAGUUAAAGAGAAUGUGUUAGAUUCCCAUGACACCCCUGUGAGGCCACCCUGGAGAAAUGUGCCACGUGCUCCCAGCCCAUCCUGGACCGGAUCCUGCGGGCUAUGGGGAAGGCCUACCACCCUGGCUGCUUCACCUGCGUGGUGUGUCACCGCGGCCUCGACGGCAUCCCCUUCACAGUGGAUGCUACGAGCCAGAUCCACUGCAUUGAGGACUUUCACAGGAAGUUUGCCCCAAGAUGCUCAGUGUGCGGUGGGGCCAUAAUGCCUGAGCCAGGUCAGGAGGAGACUGUGAGAAUUGUUGCUCUGGAUCGAAGUUUUCACAUUGGCUGUUACAAGUGCGAGGUCAGGGGCCCCCAGCACGUGCAAGGGGCUGGCAGUGUCUAGGGUGCUGGGUAGAGCAUGAGAGAGGGGGAACACAGAGGUCUGGGGUUGAUG